This 1068-nucleotide small RNA is filed under the name Vigna angularis var. angularis. Its description in RNAcentral is "Non-protein coding transcript". The record is from RNAcentral. Lineage: Eukaryota; Viridiplantae; Streptophyta; Magnoliopsida; Fabales; Fabaceae.
CUUAAAUCUCUUCAUUCAUAUAUUGUAUAUAUGUAUAAAAAAAUUAUUGAGGAUCAAAUUCAUGAUAAACUAGCUGUAUAUAUCAAAACUGUCACAUCGUGCACUUGGCCUUACAAACUCCAUGUGUGUGCAUUGGACAAAUACAAGUCUUGUGUGUGGAUCCAAAUAUUGUAAUGCUGAAAGCCUUAGAAUCUAUACGUUUCAUCAAGCUUGUCAAAAGUCAUGUUCAAAAAUCCCAUGAAAGGUUGAGAGGACAUGAAAACAUGGUGUAGAUUAUGCCACUUUUUAACGUUAGGAAUGUUCUGUUUUUUUCUAGUGAGCAAUAACAGGUAGUGGUAGAUAUAUAUUAUUGUACUAUAAAAAGUGAUCAUAAAGCUCUUCAUUCGGCAGUCCCUCCCUCAAAGCAAAAUCCACACAUAAUCUCAAUCCCCAAGUGUUUCUUUCCCUAUUUCCAAUGUUUGGUUCUGAUUACUUUGGUUUUUAUAUGAUUCUUUUGAUUUCUUGCUUCAGAUUAAAAACAUUGCUUACCAUGUGUUAAAAGAAGAGACACGAGUGCGCUGUCUCGUGCAAAUAUACUGUAUAUUGAAGCUUUAAACCUAUCCAUUCAAACCAAGGAAUCUUGGGUUUUGCCAAAAUGUGGAUUCCUAGGUCUUAUGUGUAGUCUUAUCUAUAUGGCUUCUUACAAAGUACAUCGAAAGCAUGCAAGGGCCAAAUUAGAACAAUACUAAAAAGACUCAGACAAUCUUCAGUUGGAGUGACACUAUGGAGCCCCUCUUGAAAUUUGGACCCUUUGGGGGGAAUUUCACCUGCAUGGUCAAGAUUGAUUUACAAUAUCACUUUUACGUGUUUGAGACAGAGAAAAGAGAAUGAUUGCUGUUAUUGUUCUGUUCUAAGUCAUUCAAUUAUCGUUAAUAAUUUGCAAGCACAUUGUUAGGCUAUGAUCACCCCUGUAUUCCCUAUCAGUUAAGGUUGGAUCAAUGCUUGAUCCAACAAUCAAAACUAGACUUAAUAUGAUUGGUUUGAACUUUCUUUUUUUCCUCGGAUUACAUGUAUCUUUCUAUGUUUAAG